GAAAGAACGUUUGAUUGGGAAGAAGAAGACGUGCUUUUAUCGACUGCUGGGACAGCAGGAGGGGAAGAGGACAUUGCCAACGAUGCUCAAGUUGCUGUGUUGAAGUUGUUGCAGCUCAGACUGCUCAGUGGACAUGGAAUUCGUAGAACACUCAUCAUUGUAUUCCAACAAGCCUGCCACCACAGCUUUCCUCUGCCAACUGUUGAUAGCAGAGGAGAGGAGUGGCAUUCUCACUGUGCCAGUGUGAGAUGGAAAGAGCCCAGACUCUCGCACACUUCCUUUUUACAUUUCCUCAUCACGGGCCCAUUCGAAAGGGGGAGAGAGAGGGAGAGAGAGGGGGGAGGGAGAGGGGAGAGAGGAGGGAGAGGGGGGAGAGAGAGAGAGAGAGAGAGAGAGAGAGAGAAGAGAGAGAGAAAACUAAAAGAUAAUUACUUGACACAUUGGAAAGAAUUAACAAAAAAACAGAGCAAACUAGAAUGCUGUUUGGCCCUAAACAGAGAGUACACAGUGGCAGAAUACCUGACCACUGUGACUGACCCAAACUUAAGGAAAGCUUUCACUAUGUACAGACUCAGUGAGCAUAGCCUUGCUAUUGAGAAAUGCCGCCGUAGGCAGACCUGGCUCUCAAGAGAAGACAGGCUAUGUGCACACUGCCCACAAAAUGAGGUGGAAACUGAGCUGCACUUCCUAACCUCCUGCCAAAUGUAUGACCAUAUUAGAUACACAUAUUUCCCUCAGAUUACACAGACCCACAAAGAAUUUGAAAACAAACCCAAUGUUGAUAAACUCCCAUUUCUACUGGGUGAAAUUCCACAGUGUGACAUCACAGCAGCAAGAUUUGUGACCUGUUGCCACAAGAAAAGGUCAACCAGUGAAGAACAAACACCAAUGUAAAUACAACCCAUAUUUAUGUUUAUUUAUCUUCCCUUUUGUACUUUAACCAUUUGUACGUCGUUACAACACUGAAUAUAGACACAAUAUGACAUUUGAAAGGUCUUUAUUAUUUUGAGAAUGUCUUGUGGAACUUCUGUGAGUGUAAUGUUUACUGUUGCUUUUUAUUGUUUAUUUCACUUUUGUUAUUAUCUCCUUCACUUGCUUUGGCACUGUUAACAUGCCAACAAAGCCCUUUACAUUGAAAUUGAAUUGUGAGAGAGAGAGAUUUUAUUUUAACACUUGUAUUCAUCUCUGUGUCUGAUUGUUCCCUGGGUGUUUUAAUUGUAGAUAAUUGGGCCAUUUAAGUCAUUGAUUUGAUUUAUCACAUAGAUUUCACACCUGGUGCCCUGAAGCAGCCGUCCGUCCAUCAGAAUUGGUGAAAUAAGGACUAGAAGUGUACAGUAAUACGUUAUUGAUCCCAACUUGGGAAAUUGUUGGCUAAAAGCUCCAAUAUUGUGGGGGUUUUCCUCCCCCUCUGUGUAACUGUAAACCCAUCUAAAAAAAUCUCUCUUGACUCAUGAACUUACGCUACAUAUACAUGAGUACACUGAGAAUAUAAUACACUGAACAAAAAUAUAAACACAACAUGUAAAGUGUUUGUCCCAUGUUUCAUGAGCUGAAAUAAACGAUCCCAGAAAUGUUCCAUACUGCACAAAAAAGCUUAUUUCUCUGAAUCUUCAUUGACAAACAUUGGCAGUAAGAAUGGCUUUACUGAAGAGCUCAGUGACAUUCAACGUGGCACCGUCAUAGGAUGCCACCUUUCCAACAAGUCAGUUCGGCAAAUUUAUGCCCUGGUAAAGCUGCCCUGGUCAAAUGUAAGCGUGGUUAUUGUGAAGUGGAAACAUCUAGGAGCAACAACGGCUCAACCGCAAAGUGGUAGGCCACACAAGCUCACAGAACGGGAUCGGCGAGUGCUGAAACGCGCAGCGCGUAAAAAUCUCCUGUCCUCGGUUGGAACACUCACUAUCGAGUUCCAAACUGCCUCUGGAAGCAACGUCGGCACAAUAACUGUUCAUCAGGAGCUUCCUGAAAUGGGUUUCCAUGGCUGAGCAGCCGCACGCACACCAGCCUAAGAUCACUAUGCACAAGCGUUGGCCGAAAUGGAGUCUGGAGCAGUGGACUCUGGAGCAGUGGACUCUGGAGCAGUGGACUCUGGAGCAGUGGAAACUGGAGCAGUGGAAACUGGAGCAGUGGACUCUGGAUCAGUGGAAACUGGAGCAGUGGACUCUGGAGCAGUGGACUCUGGAGCAGUGGAAACUGGAGCGAUGAAUCACGCUUCACCAUCUGGCAGGCUAGGUCCCUUAGUUCCAGUGAAGGGAAAUCUUAACGGUACAGCAUACAAUGACUUUCUAGAUGAUUCUGCGCUUCCAACUUUGUGGCAACAGUUUGGGGAAGGCCAUUUCCUGUUUCAGCAUGACAGUGCCGCCACGCACAAAGCGAGGUCCUAAAAAAAUUGUUUGUCAAGUUCGGUGUGGAACAACUUGACUGGCCUGCACAGAGCCCUUACCUCAGCCCCAUCGAACACCUUUUGUGAUGAAUUGGAACGCCGACUAUGAGCCAGGCCUAAUCGUCCAACAUCAGUGACCUGAGCGAAGACCCAAAGUCCCUGCACCAAUGUUGCAACAUCUAGUGGUAAGACUUCCCAGAAGAGUGGAGGUUGUUAUCGCAGUACCGGGGGGAGCAUUAAUAACUCCUUAUUAAUGCCUGUGAUUUUAGAAUGAAAUGUUUGACGAGCAGGUGUCCACAUACCUUUGGUCAUGUAGUGUAUUUUGCCAUAAUGAACUGUAGCAAUGUUCAUGACAAUAAUGAUUUAAAAAUACCUCUUUCAGACUGAGUGAUUGUACACAGAUUUCCAGAGAGCCACUCCCUCCUCAGCCCUCCCUGCCUAGCCCUUCCUCCUCCCCCAUCCUCCUACCCACUCCCCAAUCUUUCCCCCUUCCCACUUACCUCCCCUCCUUCAUCCCCACUCCUGCCCCAUUCCCCACUCACUGCCACCCCAUUCCCUCCCUCACCACCCCCCCCACUCUCACCUCCCUACUCCCUCCUCCCCACCCUCUCCCUCCUCCUCCCCACUCCAUCCUGCCCCUUCCCACUUACCUCCCCUCCUUCAUCCCCACUCCUGCCCCAUUCCCUCCCUCACCCCCACCCACUCUCACCUCCCCACUCCCUCCUGCCCCUCCCCACUUUAAACAAUACAAAACAUUCAUAUACAAACGAGAACAUACAGAUGCUCACCAACAUCCACAACAUCACCUCUGCCCAGACCCACCUGCUCACACCCCUCAUCCACAGCACCCACACCCCUCAUCCCCAGCGCCCACACCCCUCAUCCCCAGCGCCCACACCCCUCAUCCCCAGCGCUCACACCCCUCAUCCCCAGCGCCCGUAUCUCUCUCCGCCACAUGGCCUCAAACUGCACCAUUUAGUUUCUCUCCGUCGCCCACAAGCACUUUCAACAUUUAGAUAUUAAAGUAUUUGACCUUUUCCAUUGUGUUAACGAUGGAGGAUUUUAAGUAUCGAACCAACCUAUCGGGUACCUCACUGCAUCCUCAUACACCAUGUCUUGAAAUAUGCAGAAAGAGAGAGUUACACUGAGUCCGCAAAACAUUAGGAACACCUUUCUACUAUGGAGUUGCACCCCCUUCUGCCCUCAGAACUGCCCAUUUUGCCCUCAGAACCGCCCCUUUUGCCCUCAGAACCACCCCUUUUGCCCUCAGAACCGCCCCCUUUGCCCUCAGAACCGCCCCUUUUGCCCUCAGAACCGCCCUCUUUGCCCUCAGAACCGCCCCUUCUGCCCUCAGAGCCGCCUCAAUUCGUCAGGGAAAUGGACUCUACAAGGUGUCGAAUGGCAUUCCACAGGUAUGCUGGCCCAGGUUGUCUCCAAUGCUUCCAACACUUGUGUCAAGUUGGCUGGAUAUCUUUUGGGUGGUGGAACAUUCUUGAUACACACGGGAAACUGUUGAGCGUGAAAAACUCAGCAGCGUAGCAGUUCUUGACACACUCAAACCGGUGCGCCUGGCACCUACUACCAUGGCCCAUUUCAAAGGUACUUAAAUAUUGUGAGUUGCCCAUUCACCUUCUGAAUGUCACACAUACACAAUCCAUAUCUAAAGGCUUAAAAAUCAUUCUUUAACCUGUUUCCUCUCCUUCAUCUACACUGAUUAAAGUGUAUUUUACAUAUUUUAAAUCAAUAAGCUUUCAUCUGGGUUCACCUGGUCAGUCUACGUCAUGUUCCCAAUCAAAUCAAAUCAAAUCAAAAUGUAUUUGUCACAUGAGCCCGAAUACAACAGGUGUAGUAGACCUUACAGUGAAAUGCUGAAUACAACAGGUGUAGUAGACCUUACAGUGAAAUGCUGAAUACAACAGGUGUAGUAGACCUUACAGUGAAAUGCUGAAUACAACAGGUGUAGGUAGACCUUACAGUGAAAUGCUGAAUACAACAGGUGUAGUAGACCUUACAGUGAAAUGCUGAAUACAACAGGUGUAGGUAGACCUUACAGUGAAAUGCUGAAUACAACAGGUGUAGUAGACCUUACAGUGAAAUGCUGAAUACAACAGGUGUAGGUAGACCUUACAGUGAAAUGCUGAAUACAACAGGUGUAGUAGACCUUACAGUGAAAUGCUGAAUACAACAGGUGUAGGUAGACCUUACAGUGAAAUGCUGAAUACAACAGGUGUAGUAGACCUUACAGUGAAAUGCUGAAUACAACAGGUGUAGGUAGACCUUACAGUGAAAUGCUGAAUACAACAGGUGUAGUAGACCUUACAGUGAAAUGCUGAAUACAACAGGUGUAGGUAGACCUUACAGUGAAAUGCUGAAUACAACAGGUGUAGUAGACCUUACAGUGAAAUGCUGAAUACAACAGGUGUAGGUAGACCUUACAGUGAAAUGCUGAAUACAACAGGUGUAGUAGACCUUACAGUGAAAUGCUGAAUACAACAGGUGUAGGUAGACCUUACAGUGAAAUGCUGAAUACAACAGGUGUAGUAGACCUUACAGUGAAAUGCUGAAUACAACAGGUGUAGUAGACCUUACAGUGACAUGCUGAAUACAACAGGUGUAGUAGACCUUACAGUGAAAUGCUGAAUACAACAGGUGUAGUAGACCUUACAGUGAAAUGCUGAAUACAACAGGUGUAGUAGACCUUACAGUGAAAUGCUGAAUACAACAGGUGUAGUAGACCUUACAGUGAAAUGCUGAAUACAACAGGUGUAGUAGACCUUACAGUGAAAUGCUGAAUACAACAGGUGUAGUAGACCUUACAGUGAAAUGCUUACUUACAAGCCCUUAACCAACAGUGCAGUUUUAAGAAAGAAUAAGUGUUGAGAAAGUAUUUACUAAAUAAACUGUAGUAAACAAUAAUUUUAAAAAAAAUUUAAAAAAAAUAAAAGAGCAACAACAGUAGUGAGGCUAUAUACAG
Molecule: long non-coding RNA, 5354 nt
Filed under: Oncorhynchus kisutch (coho salmon)
Lineage: Eukaryota; Metazoa; Chordata; Actinopteri; Salmoniformes; Salmonidae
Description: lncRNA (ENSOKIG00005037782.1)
Source: RNAcentral